RNAcentral lists this ribosomal RNA (253 nucleotides) under uncultured bacterium. RNAcentral describes it as "partial 16S ribosomal RNA". It matches the Rfam family "Bacterial small subunit ribosomal RNA", at positions 524 to 776 of the family's 1533-position model. The record is from RNAcentral.
UACGGGGGGAGCAAGCGUUGUUCGGAUUUACUGGGCGUAAAGGGAGCGUAGGUGGUUAGGUAAGCCCUCCGGGAAAUCUUCAGGCUUAACCUGAAAAGGUCGGGGGGGACUGCCUGGCUAGAGGACGGGAGAGGAGCGCGGAAUUCCCGGUGUAGCGGUGAAAUGCGUAGAGAUCGGGAGGAAGGCCGGUGGCGAAGGCGGCGCUCUGGAACGUUUCUGACACUGAGGCUCGAAAGCGUGGGGAGCAAACAGG